UAAAAUGCAUGUUUCCAUGUUCAGCCUG
Molecule: small RNA, 28 nt
Filed under: Bombyx mori (domestic silkworm)
Lineage: Eukaryota; Metazoa; Arthropoda; Insecta; Lepidoptera; Bombycidae
Description: ovarian small RNA-18071
Source: RNAcentral